This 893-nucleotide long non-coding RNA is filed under the name Ananas comosus (pineapple). RNAcentral's name for it is "long non-coding RNA (ACOM_LNC035647)". Lineage: Eukaryota; Viridiplantae; Streptophyta; Magnoliopsida; Poales; Bromeliaceae. The record is from RNAcentral.
ACGUCGUCCUACACGACAUGCUCUACAAAUGUCACGCCCCGUGACCACCCGCCAAUUUGGCCGGGUCGCGGCACUGCCGACAGACCGCCGAACGGACAGGGUUUCCCCUGUACUGCGGACAGAGUCUCCCAUGUACGUUCAAGGCAUAGCAAUCAAUACAAUGUGCGAAGUUCCAACCAGGAACACAUUUCAAUCAAGAUUGCAUAAUGGAAGGUAUCAAACAACAUAAACACAUACUAUAUUAUUACAUUCAUUCAUAUUUAUUCAUUUUACACCUCAACUACCAUUCCUUUUUCAUCCAAAUGCAAUCUAAAUUAUUACAACAUUUAUAUCUUUAAUACAUCAUGUUACAUUGUGUUCUUUUCAUUUCUUUAACCCCUAAGCUAUGUCGACGGGGUACUGCUAGCUCUGGUGUAACAUACCAGAUUUUGGUAUAAAAAUAAAAAUAAAUAAAAAUAGUGUGAGAAGCUAUUUUUAUUGGAUUUGUAGGAGUAAAACAUAAGUCAGAAGUGACUUGUGCUGAAAUCGGAGUGAAAACAGAAGAUCUAGAAUUUUCUGUUGGAAACGGGACAGAUAAAUUAGCAGAAAAUGUACAGUCUCAGAAAAUUGUGAAAAUUGGAGGAUAAGUCAGAAAUAUUUUUAUGAGGCUAGAUUUAAAGUUUCAUAUUUUUCUGACACCCGUAGAGUGAGAAAUAAAAUCCGACAGCUAUCUGAUAAAGAUUACAGUUCGGCAUAGUUUUCGGUGACCAAAUGGGGUCGAAACUGAAAACUUAAAAUAUAUUCUUACUCAGUACGUUAAACUGAGCCUGCCUGUCAAAUUUGAGCUCAAACGGACAUUCAGAAGGACUCCAACUGUUCCAAACUGUAAAAACUGCCUGAAGUGAAUAGUGUUU